AUGUACCAGGCUGGACCACUGCGGCCACGUACGCCAAGACUUGGAAAGCUACCAUUCCACUCCGCCCAGCGGGCGGCUCAACCCGCCCCGCCGGGCUGCGGCGCAUGGACGGUCGGUGGGGUGAAGGCGGCACAGGCACCCUGGCUCGCCUUCGCCCCCCAAGGCAGCUGCAGCCCCAGCUCAAGCAGCGCCCAUAGCUCGGGUCUGCCCCGAGUGCCAGCGUCCUCCCACCGCCGCCCCUCGCUCCUCCGAUGCAGCAGGGAGCGGACACGCCUUAGAACAGCCGUCGCCGCCGGCCGCCUCAGCGGGCACCUCCGCCGUCCCGGGCACGGCGCCUGCGGGGCGCGGCCGCAGCGGCAGCAGCAGCAGCAGCAGCUCGGCGGAGCGCACCCCGGGGGCGCCCACGGGAGACGCUCCCACCCACGCGUGCCCGGGGCGCUCCCGCCCCUCCGCCCGCCGCCGCCUGGCGCAGCCGCGCGCUCUUACACACCCGCACCCUCACACUCACGCACACUCGCUCGGGCCGCCCGGGCUGCACAUCGCCGCUCCUCGCCCGCCCCGCCGGUUCGCCUCCGCCAUGGCAAGCCCCGGCUCCGGCUUCUGGCCCUUCGGAGCCGAGGAGGGCUCCGCCGCCGCCGAGACCCCCGGCACAGCCAGAGCUUGGUGUCAGGUUGCCCAGAAGUUCACGGGAGGGAUCGGAAACAAACUCUGCGCCCUGCUCUACGGAGAUGCCGAGAAGCCCGUGGAGACCGGAGCCAAGGCAGCAGCCCCGGGGGUAGCGGAGCCGAGGCCGACCUGCACCUGCGACAAAAAACCCUGCGGUUGUCAGAAAGCCGACGUGAAUUACGCCUUUCUGCACUCAACAGAUCUUCUGCCGACAUGCAAUGGAGAAAUAACUACUAUGUCUUUCCUACAAGACGUUGUGGACAUUUUACUUCAGUAUGUGGUGAAAAGUUUUGAUAGAUCAACAAAAGUUAUUGAUUUCCAUUACCCAAACGAGCUGCUCCAGGAAUAUAACUGGGAACUGGCAGACCAGCCACAGACCUUGGAAGAAAUUUUAUUGAACUGCAGAACAACUCUGAAGUAUGCAAUUAAAACAGGUAAUAGCAAUGCUCAUUUUCUACCUUCUAUGGUCUCAUCCAUUGAUUAAAGGUGUCAUUUCAAUUUAGCUUGAAACGUUAAAGAUUGAAGCAGCGACUGUAUUUUGUCAGCUCCAAGCAAUUUCUAGCAGAGGCAGAAAUCGUUUUCCAAAAUGAUAAAGCACUCCAGCAGCUCCAUCUCUGUAGCUGUCAGUGCAGCCUCGCACACCCUUUCCGAUUUGAAAUUAAUGCGUCUGUGCGUCGGAGUUGCCGAGUGUGGCACCGAGCACACUUUGCACACCUUCUCCACUUUCUGCCGUUCCUUUUCAUCAUUUCCCGUGUGUUGUCCCGGCCUUUGCCUCUUGCUCCCGGCAGAGCGGGGUGCGGAGCUCGGGCCGAGGGGAGCCCAUGCGCGGGGCCAGCAGGGACCAGCCCAUUUAGCAGUCGAAAUCACAGCAAACGGCCUGUAAAUUCCAGCUCCGAGCGGCCACUGCCGUGUCUGUCACUUCGCCUGCAAAACAUAAAAUAAAAAGAGAAUUUAGCAGAACCUUACA
Molecule: long non-coding RNA, 1633 nt
Organism: Zonotrichia albicollis (white-throated sparrow)
Lineage: Eukaryota; Metazoa; Chordata; Aves; Passeriformes; Passerellidae
Source: Ensembl